UGUGACUAUACGUUUAACGGCCGCGGUAUCCUGACCGUGCAAAGGUAGCGCAAUCACUUGUCUUUUAAAUGGAGACCUGUAUGAAUGGCAUAACGAGGGCUUGACUGUCUCCUUUUCCAAGUCAAUGAAAUUGAUCUCCCCGUGCAGAAGCGGGGAUAAAAAUAUAAGACGAGAAGACCCUAUGGAGCUUUAGACACCAACGCAGAUCACGCUACUUACCCCGAAUAAAGAAUAAAGCCAAACUGACUCCUGCCCUAAUGUCUUUGGUUGGGGCGACCGCGGGGAAAUAGAGAACCCCCACGUGGAAUAGGAUUAUUUUCCUUAAAUCAAGAGCUACCGCUCUAAAUCAACAGAAAUUCUGACCAAACUAGAUCCGGCAAAGCCGAUCAACGGACCGAGUUACCCUAGGGAUAACAGCGCAAUCCCCUUUCAGAGCCCAUAUCGACAAGGGGGUUUACGACCUCGAUGUUGGAUCAGGACAUCCUAAUGGUGCAGCCGCUAUUAAGGGUUCG
RNAcentral lists this ribosomal RNA (512 nucleotides) under Paracirrhites arcatus (arc-eye hawkfish). RNAcentral's name for it is "partial large subunit ribosomal RNA". It matches the Rfam family "Bacterial large subunit ribosomal RNA", at positions 1911 to 2575 of the family's 2925-position model. Lineage: Eukaryota; Metazoa; Chordata; Actinopteri; Centrarchiformes; Cirrhitidae. The record is from RNAcentral.